CAUGAUUUACAUUUGAGUGAGUGGCGAACUGGUGAGUAACACGUGGGAAACCUGCCCAGAAGCGGGGGAUAACACCUGGAAACAGAUGCUAAUACCGCAUAACAACUUGGACCGCAUGGUCCGAGUUUGAAAGAUGGCUUCGGCUAUCACUUUUGGAUGGUCCCGCGGCGUAUUAGCUAGAUGGUGGGGUAACGGCUCACCAUGGCAAUGAUACGUAGCCGACCUGAGAGGGUAAUCGGCCACAUUGGGACUGAGACACGGCCCAAACUCCUACGGGAGGCAGCAGUAGGGAAUCUUCCACAAUGGACGAAAGUCUGAUGGAGCAACGCCGCGUGAGUGAAGAAGGGUUUCGGCUCGUAAAACUCUGUUGUUAAAGAAGAACAUAUCUGAGAGUAACUGUUCAGGUAUUGACGGUAUUUAACCAGAAAGCCACGGCUAACUACGUGCCAGCAGCCGCGGUAAUACGUAGGUGGCAAGCGUUGUCCGGAUUUAUUGGGCGUAAAGCGAGCGCAGGCGGUUUUUUAAGUCUGAUGUGAAAGCCUUCGGCUCAACCGAAGAAGUGCAUCGGAAACUGGGAAACUUGAGUGCAGAAGAGGACAGUGGAACUCCAUGUGUAGCGGUGAAAUGCGUAGAUAUAUGGAAGAACACCAGUGGCGAAGGCGGCUGUCUGGUCUGUAACUGACGCUGAGGCUCGAAAGUAUGGGUAGCAAACGGGAUUAGAUACCCGGGUAGUCCAUACCGUAAACGAUGAAUGCUAAGUGUUGGAGGGUUUCCGCCCUUCAGUGCUGCAGCUAACGCAUUAAGCAUUCCGCCUGGGGAGUACGGCCGCAAGGCUGAAACUCAAAGGAAUUGACGGGGGCCCGCACAAGCGGUGGAGCAUGUGGUUUAAUUCGAAGCUACGCGAAGAACCUUACCAGGUCUUGACAUACUAUGCAAAUCUAAGAGAUUAGACGUUCCCUUCGGGGACAUGGAUACAGGUGGUGCAUGGUUGUCGUCAGCUCGUGUCGUGAGAUGUUGGGUUAAGUCCCGCAACGAGCGCAACCCUUAUUAUCAGUUGCCAGCAUUAAGUUGGGCACUCUGGUGAGACUGCCGGUGACAAACCGGAGGAAGGUGGGGAUGACGUCAAAUCAUCAUGCCCCUUAUGACCUGGGCUACACACGUGCUACAAUGGAUGGUACAACGAGUUGCGAACUCGCGAGAGUAAGCUAAUCUCUUAAAGCCAUUCUCAGUUCGGAUUGUAGGCUGCAACUCGCCUACAUGAAGUCGGAAUCGCUAGUAAUCGCGGAUCAGCAUGCCGCGGUGAAUACGUUCCCGGGCCUUGUACACACCGCCCGUCACACCAUGAGAGUUUGUAACACCCAAA
RNAcentral lists this ribosomal RNA (1363 nucleotides) under Lactiplantibacillus pentosus. RNAcentral describes it as "bacterial SSU rRNA". It matches the Rfam family "Bacterial small subunit ribosomal RNA", at positions 74 to 1425 of the family's 1533-position model. Lineage: Bacteria; Bacillati; Bacillota; Bacilli; Lactobacillales; Lactobacillaceae. The record is from RNAcentral.